Molecule: small nucleolar RNA, 85 nt
Organism: Lycium ferocissimum
Lineage: Eukaryota; Viridiplantae; Streptophyta; Magnoliopsida; Solanales; Solanaceae
Product: small nucleolar RNA snoR14
Exons: 1
Source: RefSeq, a predicted model, not a curated record
AUGAAGUGAUGAUAGAAUUCUUGCUCAAUCCACUGAAUUACAUUUUUUAUGAUGUAAAAAGUGAAUCUCGACAGGUUCUGAUCGA